RNAcentral lists this long non-coding RNA (918 nucleotides) under Monodelphis domestica (gray short-tailed opossum). RNAcentral describes it as "lncRNA (ENSMODG00000045442.1)". The record is from RNAcentral. Lineage: Eukaryota; Metazoa; Chordata; Mammalia; Didelphimorphia; Didelphidae.
AUGUCUGUCUUUAAAUGAGUUUUCUUUUCUCCAGCUUCAAAACUGCCUGUUGCUCUGGUUUUCUCCUCUAGAUUACUAAUGUCUCUCCUAAAAUGAGGCAGCUAAUCCAGAAGAAGGCAAAGGCAACAGAGUACUUCACUAUGAUCUGUUCAUCUUGGGUAACCUUGCAUGGCAUAGCUUAUAGCUUCCUUUGCCACAACAAGGCAAUGAUCAAUGGGGGCCUUUUUAAGCAAACAGGUGUUGAAUGACUAUCUCAGGGUCACAUAACUGUUCUUCCUCUGGAUGCGGAUAGUGCUCUUUCUCAUAAGUCCCUCAGAAUUGUCCUGGAUCAUUGCAUGGCUGAUAGUAGAGAAGUCCAUUAUAUUCUAUUGUGUCAGUGUGUCCAGUUCUGUGUAUAAGGUUCUCCUGGUUCUGGGGAGCCUCUUUUCUGAAUGAUCUCCUGAAGCAGCCCAGGCCACUCAUGGAUAAUUUUAAUUAUUAGGUACUUCUUCAUGACAACAAGCCUUUAUGACAUUAAAUCUCUUUGAAACUUCCAUCCAUUACACCUAUUUAUGCGCAGCACUUAGCACUAUCCCUGGUGCAUAGUAGGUGCUUACUGAUUGUUUAUUGACUGACUGAACACAAGCAGAGCAAGUCAAAUCCUUCCUUCUCUUGCCAGACCUAUAAAUACCAGCUAUUAUCCACCUCACCCUCAGAGUCUCCUCUUCUCCAGUCCAAUCAUUCCCAACCCUUUCAAAUGAUAUUCUCAUAGGGCAUGAAUCCAAGGGCUUCAUAGUUCCAAUGACUUCUAUAUACUCCAUUCCCUCAAUAUCACAAAUGUAUGUUCUUCUCUGAAAUGUGGCACCCAUAACUGAACCAAGAGCUGCCAAUACAGCUGAACAGAAUAAAAUGGAACUCUUACUACUUUCUAUUCUGAUC